RNAcentral lists this ribosomal RNA (444 nucleotides) under Delias agostina (yellow jezebel). RNAcentral's name for it is "partial 16S ribosomal RNA". Lineage: Eukaryota; Metazoa; Arthropoda; Insecta; Lepidoptera; Pieridae. The record is from RNAcentral.
AGUAUAUUGACUGUACAAAGGUAGCAUAGUCAUUAGUCUUUUAAUUGGAGACUUGUAUAAAUGAUUUGAUGAAAUAUAAACUGUCUCUUUAUUAAUAAUAGAAUUUAAUUUUUUAGUUAAAAAGCUAAAAUUUUUAUAAAAGACGAGAAGACCCUAUAGAGUUUAAUUUUUUAAUUUUUGUAAAUAUUAUAUAAAAAUUAUAAUUUAUAAAAAUUAAAAAUUUUGUUGGGGUGAUAGAAAAAUUUAAAAAACUUUUUUUAAAAAUUAAUAAUUUAUGAAUUUUUGAUCCAUAAUUUGAUUAAAAGAUUAAAUUACCUUAGGGAUAACAGCGUAAUAUUUUUUUUUUUAGUUCAAAUAAAAAAAAAAGUUUGCGACCCCCAUGUUGGAUUAAAAAAAAAUUUAAAUGCAAAAGUUUAAAAUUUUGAUCUGUUCGAUCAUUAAAAU